CUGGGUCUGGGCUUAGGGAAGAGAAGCAAAGCCAGCCUUGUGACCUGCCUUAGUUUUAGCCUAUCUGGCAAACCUAGCUCAGGUAAAUAGCCCCUCAAUAACCUUGCAGGCAGCAAUAAUUUAUCUGGGGCAAGACUCAAGUAUUCCUGGGUUCUUAGCUAACAUAGCAUCUUAUUACCAUGCGAUUAUUACCUCUUCAUUACCAGUCACCUUCCUCUGGAAAGCAUAAUUCUGUGAGAAAAUAUCCCUGCAUAAUAGUGACCCCCUACACACACAUACACACAUACACACACACACACACACACACACAUACUCUGAGGCUACCUGAGAUGCUGCAAUGAAUACUCAGCCCCUAGACACAGGAGGACAGGAGUGUCUGUGAGCAACAGACAAAAGAUUUAUGUGAAAUGGAUUUCUAAGAAGCCAUAGAAAGGGAAGACAUCUGUCUGUCUAGCAGUUAUUAAAAGGCGGGGAAA
RNAcentral lists this long non-coding RNA (476 nucleotides) under Homo sapiens (human). RNAcentral's name for it is "HSALNT0368205". The record is from RNAcentral. Lineage: Eukaryota; Metazoa; Chordata; Mammalia; Primates; Hominidae.